GCCAACGACCACAUCACCCUGAAUGCCCACGAUCUCCUCCGAUCUCAGAAGCUAAGCAGUUUCGAGCCUGGUUAGUUCUUGGAC
RNAcentral lists this ribosomal RNA (84 nucleotides) under Petromyzon marinus (sea lamprey). Lineage: Eukaryota; Metazoa; Chordata; Hyperoartia; Petromyzontiformes; Petromyzontidae. The record is from RNAcentral.